RNAcentral lists this transfer RNA (73 nucleotides) under Alkalispirillum mobile. RNAcentral describes it as "tRNA-Lys". It matches the Rfam family "tRNA". From Rfam's summary of the family: Transfer RNA (tRNA) molecules are approximately 80 nucleotides in length. Lineage: Bacteria; Pseudomonadati; Pseudomonadota; Gammaproteobacteria; Chromatiales; Ectothiorhodospiraceae. The record is from RNAcentral. RNAcentral also lists the same sequence under 4 other names.
GGGCCGUUAGCUCAAUUGGUAGAGCAGCUGACUCUUAAUCAGUAGGUUCGGGGUUCGAGUCCCUGACGGCCCA